AACGCAUCUUGCACUCAUUGGUAUUCCAAUGAGUACGCCUGUUUCAGUAUCAAAAACACCCCACACCCAAAACUUGCUUUUGAGUGGAACUGGGGCAACAGUCUUUACGGCUGUUCCCCUUAAAAAUAUUAGGCCUGAACUUGUUUUGUCUGCCUGAACUUUUUUUAAUAUAAAGGAAAGCUCUUGCCAACUAAAACUUUAUUGGGGCCUCCCAAAUAAAUCUAUCUUAAAUUUGAUCUGAAAUCAGGUGGGAUUACCCGCUGAACUUAA
Molecule: unclassified non-coding RNA, 270 nt
Filed under: Saccharomycetales sp.
Lineage: Eukaryota; Fungi; Ascomycota; Saccharomycetes; Saccharomycetales
Description: partial contains 5.8S ribosomal RNA, internal transcribed spacer 2, and large subunit ribosomal RNA
Source: RNAcentral